CCUCCAUUUCUUGACACACAUGUGAUUGUUAAGUACACAUGUGUGAUAUUACGGAGGAAAAGUGAAUACAAUGCUAUGUCUUCGGUACCGGUGUGUGUUAUUGUCUGCCGGUUCUAUCCUCAAUCGCUGUAACAUUC
Small nucleolar RNA from Limanda limanda (common dab), 137 nucleotides. RefSeq annotates it as small nucleolar RNA SNORA57. The record is from RefSeq and is a predicted model, not a curated record. Lineage: Eukaryota; Metazoa; Chordata; Actinopteri; Pleuronectiformes; Pleuronectidae. The transcript has a single exon.